This 425-nucleotide ribosomal RNA is filed under the name uncultured bacterium. Its description in RNAcentral is "bacterial SSU rRNA". It matches the Rfam family "Bacterial small subunit ribosomal RNA", at positions 108 to 518 of the family's 1533-position model. The record is from RNAcentral.
GAGUAACACGUAUGCAACCUGGGCUGGUAAGAGGGGGAAUAAACCCCGGACGAAAAUACCGGACUAAUAACCCGCAUAAUACUUAGAAUCCGCAUGGAUUUUAAGUUAAACAUUUAUGGCUUACAGAUGGGCAUGCGUAUGAUUAGCUGGUUGGAGAGGUAACGGCUCCCCAAGGCAACGAUCAUUAGGGGUUCUGAGAGGAAGGUCCCCCACACUGGUACUGAGACACGGACCAGACUCCUACGGGAGGCAGCAGUGAGGAAUAUUGGUCAAUGGACGCAAGUCUGAACCAGCCAAGUCGCGUGCAGGAAGAAUGUCCUUAAUGGAUUGUAAACUGCUUUUUGCAGGGGAAUAAAGUGCAUCACGUGUGAUGUUUUGUAUGUACUCUGCGAAUAAGGAUCGGCUAACUCCGUGCCAGCAGCCGC